Molecule: non-coding RNA, 8057 nt
Organism: Phalacrocorax carbo (great cormorant)
Lineage: Eukaryota; Metazoa; Chordata; Aves; Suliformes; Phalacrocoracidae
Source: RefSeq, a predicted model, not a curated record
AGAGUCGUAGCAGGGUGUGCUGUGGCGAUGAAGACUCUGAAUACAAAGACAUGUGGCAACUAGGGACUUCACACCAGCUCUAAAAUUGGAGAAUGGGAGUGACUCAGUGGAGCUCCCUCUCAGCUGGUCUGAGACCCCCACCACCUUUGACCUUGCUGUGGACUACUGGAACACCAAACAGGAGGUGAGUGAAGGUGAGGUCUGGGCUGUCACAGAGCAAUAGGCCACUCAAACACUGUUGUACAACAUGGUCUUCCACAGUCCCUGGCAUUCAGGAGCAGAUGAUGGCCACUGGAAGAGCAGAGACCCACAUAGAACAAAGGAAAAAGAAGGCACGAAGUUAUCAAUUGACCUCUCAAGGAAUAAACUUUCUUGUAGUGACUCAGUCACCAUGAUACUCUGAAACAUAUGUAUGUGCACCGACCCACAUCUCUUAUCUGUCUCAUAUCAGUAAACACUAAUGAUGCAAAGCUCUGGAUGAUGUGCAUGGAGGUACCUUGUUACCCUUCUUGGCUGAAACCAUAGUGGGGUAACAUUGCAUCAGGGAUGACUGAUCCCCAAAACCAUUCUUAGAGAUACCAUCCCCUUAAUGGCUGGGACUAGGAGCCUGGAAACACUCAAGGGAGAAGUUUCUUCUGCCUCUUAGCGCUAAUUGGGAAAAGAGAACACCUCAGAGGAAGAACUAAAUCCUACUGGAGGUGUCUAGUUCCAUCAGAGAAAGUCGAAGUCAUGGCAUCUGUGGAAGAUGCUGGUUUAGGAUCCAGUUCAACCAAUGAAAUCCAAGAAAAGACAAUCCAAGUACAGGACUUCUGAAAAAUGGAGAAACAACCUACUGGGAUGAUUUUACGGGUUGCAAGGAAAGCUAUAGCUUCUUGAUCAAAAUGAAGAGGCCUAAGGUAGGGCUAAGGAUGCAAACUAUUUAACAAAGUAAAUGACAAAUGGACAAUCUGUAUCCAGAAGACCUGGAAGCGCAGCAGAAUGUUCAGGUGGAGAAGAGGGAGCUUCUGUCUGGACGGGUGAACACAGAGGAUGGCUCCAUCUGUCAGAACUGAGGAAGAAAUACGAAAAACUAAGAAAAAGGGGAUGCAGCAGUCUUCAGAAAGUGGGAAUGAUAGCUCUUAAUAUUGGAACCACCCUAGUUCAGAGCUGUAGUUUCACUGAGUUUCAGAAGAAUCUCCACGUUCGGUACUGCUCAGGUAUUUUCUCAUGCUCUCCUAUACAAACCACUUCUUAACAGGGACAUAUAAUGCAUUUGCUCUGUGGUGCUAUUUCAACAGGUUUGAUUUCCAGUACUGGUGACAGUGUGCUUAGCUCCUUUCUCUGAUGGAUGAAAUGUAGAGUGGUUGCACCCAAAUCAGACAAAAUACCACUGGGAAAGGACACAGUCUUUCAAUGCCCUUUUUGACACUUCCUCCCUAAGACAUCUGUGUACUUAUCCCUGUGAAACUGGCUUUACAGCUCACUUUCAAGGUCAAAACAACACUGAGGCAGGAAAUGCCUCACUUUCUGGCUAAAUAUAAAUCUGAAGCCCAACUAACUUGCCAGGCUCAACAUGUUCUGAGUGGCAUGUCUUAUGGGGGUAGCUCAGUUCAAUUCAGAAGUGAACUGACAUAGCAACCUGCAUAAUGCUGCCAACAUCAGAAAGGAGACCCUCAGGUAUCUACCAAAAAUAGAUAUGAUCCGUCAAAGAUAGGAAUAUGCAUUGCACUUGGGCAGGUUCAAAGUUAUGGGCGACUGGUCAGUUUUGGGCCAUUGUCGGUAUCAUCCGAUCUUGAUUCAGUGCCAAGUUGCAGGUUGUCACUAGGCCAUCUUUCUCUCCCUUUUCUCAUAGAGAUGCCCUUUUUCUUUUCAUAGCCUGACUUAGACUCUACCCAGAAACAGUUUAACAUCUUUUCACACCAGUUUUUUUGCAACCACUUUUUCACAGAAUCACAGAAUCACAGAAGGUAGGGGUUGGAAGAGACCUCUGCAGAUCACUUUGUCCAACCCCCCUGCUUGAGCAGGGACACCUAGAGCAGGGGGCACAGGAACAUGUCCAGGUGGGUUUUGAAUGUCUCUCUAGGUAAGGUGACUCCACAACCCCCCUGGGCAGCCUGUUCUACUGCUCUGUCACCCUCACAGGAAAGUUUUUUUUUCUCAGAUUGAGGUGGAACUUCCUGUGUUCCAGCUUGUGCCCGUUGCCCCUUGUCCUGUCAUUGGGCACUAUUGAAAAGAGCCUAGUCUCAUCGUCCUGAUACCCACCCUUCAGAUAUUUAUAGGUAUUGAUUUUUGUACUAUUAUACUUCAUAUCUGCAGCCCCACAGUCCCCCUGCCCAGUGAACUGAAUGCCCCUAAAAAUGUGAAAUAUAUUGCUUGCACUUCUAAAAGAAUGAAGCUAGGACUCUUGCUCUGCAUCGCUGAGGUGAUGUUCUUUUUCCUUCUACCUGAAUCUGUAACAGUACAUGCAAGUGCAGGUGAUGGAAGCGUUCACUGAGUUAGGCCAGGCUGGAUUUAAGGAUAAGUCACCAAAAUGGGCAUGACUUAUACACUAGAAGUCCUGAUCCUAUUUCCUGAGGGCUUCUGAACUUUGUGGCCUUUCCUGUCAAUAUGGGUCCUAAAAUCCAUUCAACACACAUGGGAACACCAACUGGUGUCCCCCACAGUUACUCUCCUCACACCUAGGAAAGCAUCAGAGAAAGGAUGAGACUUUUGAUGAAGAAAUGUGGGUGUAGGCUGGAAAAUGCUCCUACUUAAAGCACAUCUCUGGUUGAUGCAUGAGAAAUGUAAUCACUAAAGAGUGAGUAGAAAUAAACCAUGUCCUUUUAAAAGACUUUAGCCUGUCUGAAAAGCACAACAGUUUUGGGGAAUGGGACCUAACCAUUAAUUUUUUGGCCAUGUGUGGACUCUUAAUACCUCACAGGUUCUGCCUGAGAUGCCCAGUUUCUUCCUUCCUUCCUCACCAUGUUUCCUGCAUCUCUCACACUGGCAGUGUCACAGGACAGCCUCUUCCUCAUUGCUGGGCACAGUAGUUCAAAGUGUGAUGAGCCCAUCAGCUAUGUGAGAAUGGGAAGACCUAGGGAGAGAGGACACAGUGCUCAGCCAAGGACUGUGCCUGGUGGCAGGCACCUGCACGCAGGGGGUCCCUAUGAUGUGGCAUCCUCAACAUGGAGACCUUCACUUAAGACAUGGGACCAGGCACAUGUGAAUUCAUCAUGUGUUACAUGUAGUGGAUAUGCUCCAGUCAGGCAUCCCAAUGCAUAAAGUUUCACACUGAGAGGAGACAGAUCACAGAAUCACAGAAUGGUGGGGGUUGGAAUAGACAUCUGCAGAUCAUCUUGUCCAACCUCCCUGCUUGAGCAGGCACACCUAGAGCAGGGGGCACGGGACCACAUCCAGGCAGGAUUUGAGUGUCUCCGGGGAAGGAGACUCCACAACCUCCCUGGGCAGCCUCUUCCACUGCUCUGGCACCCACACAGGAAAGAAGUUUUUCUCAUGUUUAGGUGGAACUGCCUGUGUUCCAACUUGCGCUCACUGCCCCUUGUCCUGUCGUUGAGCACCACUGAAAAGAUUCUGGUCCCAACCUCUUCACACCCACCCUUCAGAUAUUUAUAUGUAUUGACAAGAUCCCCCCUCAGUCUUCUCUUCUCCAGGCUGAACAGAUCCAAGUCUUUCAGCCUUUCCGUUUAAGAGAGAUGCUCCAUUCCCCUGAUCAUCUUGGUAGCUUUCUGCUGGACUUGCUCGAUCAGUUCCCUGUCCUUCUUGUACUGGGGUACCCAAAACUGGACACAGUACUCCAAAUGUGGUCUCACUAGGGCAGAGUUGACCUGCUGGCCACACUCCUCUUAAUGCAGCCCAGGAUAUUGUUGUCCUUCUUGGCCACAAGGGCACAGUGCUGGCUCAGGGUCAGCCUGCUGUUCACCAGCACUCCCAGGUCCUUCUCAACAGAGCUGCUUUCCAGUAGGAAAACAGAUCUCCAGUUACUGUAGAUACUAAAGACGUAGAUGCCCACCCAUAUGCGUUUUCAGUGUCGGUUGAUUUCAAUUUGCAUCUGAAAUAAAACAAACAAACCCGAAACAACUAAUCUUCUAGUUCUUCCCUGCACUUCUAUCUUCAGACAGUGCAUGGUCACAACAGGGCUGGCAGCGCGGUCUUGGCUUGCAGAAUAUGUGCCAAGCUAUCAAUCACCUGCAACGUCUCAAGCGUGUGCCUUUGCAGUGCCACUUCCAGUCUUUCAACACUGGGUGGCACCAACAAUAUAAAGAAUCAAGGCCACUUCUCUAGCCUUUCCCUGUUCAAGGGAGCCGUGAUGCUGCAAGAGGUGAGGUGCUAUCAGUUUGUUUAUAGUCUUGAUGCAGUGAAUAUAAGAAAAACAUUAUUCUAGCAAAAGACCUCAGGUAAUGGUAGGAUUAGGAGCAGGUGAGGAUAUAAGAUAGGAAGAACUAUUUGUAAAGUUUGAUUACUUCCACUGUGGAACUUUCAGCUAAACCCUCCACCCCACCUGUGAUUAAAGGUUUGUUUUGUUUUGUUUUUUUUUAAUCUUGUUGUCAUGAAUAAACCUUCUCCUCAGGCACAGAAAAAAAAAAAAGACAGAAAAGCAGCAGAGAGAUAGGGCCAGUCCCAGGCUCUGUGCUGGUGUUGUUCAUAUCUCAGAAAUUGCUGGAGCGAGGAGUGGCCCUUUGAGCUCCCUUGCUCCCUCCAUCUUUGGCAGCAUUGCCCUGUGCCCCAGCCAGCAAAACAGGACCUGAGCGAGAGGCAGAGCCCCUCCAUCAGCAAGUUGCUCUUUCUCACACCUCAUCUAACACGGGAUGCUAAUGGCAUCCCUUUAGCAGAUAAGGCCAAGUUCUUCAGGAAGAAUACUCUGCAUGCAAUAUUUUUUCAGUGGGAGCUUAGAGACAGAAGUUUCUAGAUGCUGAACUAGAGGAAAGCCACGUGCUCUUUAUUGAUUUCUUGUUGCUGGCUAUGAUAAAUUCCGAGAGUGUAGCAACACAGAGCAGAAAGUUAUGGAGGAGCUGCUGUCUUAUGGAAUACUUUGUAUGCCUUCCUUAACAUCUGUCAUUUGUGACCAAUGCCACGGAAUGCAGUUAUCCAAUAAGAUGCCAAACUGUCAGCAUUUUGUUAAAAUAUGCUGCAGGGAGUAGUUCAGUAAGCUACUUAGCAUGCCAAAUGCAUAGUAUGUGCCAACAUAUUUAUCGUAAAAUGUUCUUAAGAGCUGCAAGCCUCUGUUCGUUGGGAGUAAUCAAUUCCAUCUUCAUAUGCAGUGGACCUUGAACCCUGCUCUGCACUCACAUUGCAACAAUUUAAUUUUUUCAAGGGACUAUCAGAAUAAGUAGAUGCAGUACCUCUACCAGGAGCUUUGGCAGUAGGCUUUAUUGAUAUUCGGGGCUAAAAAAGCCUCACAGAUCUCUGCACACUGUGGGAAGGAUCUAAAAAUAUAUAAUAAAAGCACGAUUAGUACAGCAUGCAACAAGGUGAGGAGUACAUGCUGUUGAACAGCAACAAAGUCUUCACAAUGUAAAAGCAACAAAGCCAAAUAAAGUAAUUCAGCAACAAGAGUGUUAGGCUCAGCCUUAUUCCAAUAUGAAAUAAAGGACAGUUAUAUUUUUAGUGGAACUGAAAGAAUCCACACCAGUGACUAGUAAUUAAUAGCAAGGAGACCUUUGGUCCCCUGUUGAACCUUGGGAUUGCCUUAUUAGACACUGUCAGUUUCUGAGACAUGCAAAUUCUGUUUGUCAAAAAGCACUGGUUUCGAUACACUCAGUGACCUUUCUCAUCUCUUGUACCCCUUCUUCCUCUUCUAUCUGACUAAAGUUCUUACAGAGACUCUGUUCCCAGGGAAUUACUUGUUGGGCAGUUCUCCCACAGAUGAUAUAGGGUGUCUCCUCUGAUACUGAAAGUGAGGCAGCACUUUGUUAAGCCUGGACUUGUGUAUAUGUUCAGCAACCCUCCAUGACCUCUCUCCAUGGGAAGCCUGGCUCCUCAACCUUGGGGUUUUCAUCUUUACUUGGUAUAAAGUGCUGCCAAAUAGUUGUAGUCAACCCCAAGGCCAGCAAAGGGAUAUCAGCAUGGUCCUGAGCUGGGUGUCCCUAACCCUUCCCAUCCCUGGUAAUAGGCUCCAGUGCCUGGCUGCCCACAUCUCUUGCUAGACAGAAAAUAUCUGUGAUAUCACAUAUAUGUCUCAAUCCUAAAAUGCCACUCCAGCUCUAUAGCAACACUAACAGUCAUCGUCUGUUUUUUCUUUAUAGCUGGGAGUCUCACAGAGGCCCUACUGCAGUGUUUUGCAGCUACAGUUAAACAACUGAAACCUAGAAAUGAGUCUGAGGUAAAAUCUUAUCUGUUACACCUCUUGCUCCCAGACCACGCUCCUGGGGGAUUCAUUUCAGAUCUCAGUGAGAUCUAUAGAGAGCUUUACAACGUGGAAAUUCGGACUGCAUAUUAGUAUCCAAAAAAAGGAUGUGGAAACCCAGCUCUAAGCUUCAAAAAUCAAUAAAAUACGACAUGUAGAACAUACUGACACACCGAGACUUGCAGAGACUGUGUAUACAUACAAACAUCCUCAUAAAAUCAGAUAAGGGGUUUUCCCCAAAAUGGGUGUCUCCUCAGGACCAGCUUGCUGAAGGGGAAGGUGUGGGGAGGAGUAGAAGGAAAGACAGAAGGAAGCACAGGAAUAAAUUCAAUUUAAGUGUGCACAGAAGGAGCAAGGAAACCCAUAAACAUAUCCAGAAUGAUAAAAGGUAAAUGAAGCAAAGGGCUUUUAAAGAUGUGAGACUCGCCAGCUCUUUCAAGCAGAGCUGAAGAUGAACGAAGACUUAGGAUCUGGGUGAGACAGUUUGUUGUGUGCUUUUCCAAACUGGCACUGCUGUGUAUUCUUCUCAGGCAAAGGGGCUUGUUUGCUGCUGUAGGAAAGAUAGUGGCCUGCAGCGCUACCUGGAAAGCAGUUCCUCUGCUGUUGAAUAGUCCUGAUGUAUGUGGAAUAAAAGGUGCUCUUUAACUAUGCACAGGGCUCAGAAUGGCCAGACUGCAUGCGCCAGGCUCACAGUGUUUAAUGCUUUGCCCAUGUUUACAACAUCCAAGCUCAAAUUGCGCGCAUUUAUCAUGCCCUUUCUCCCUCUCUUGACCCUACAUUUUGGAUGCACUGGCCUGGCCCUGCAGCUGGGGAUACAUGACAGUGGUACCUUGUGGAGCAGCAAGGCACCACAGACCUUUCCCUGAGCUGCAAAUGCAGGCUCAGACCUCAAUUGUUCAGAGGAGAAUAUUUGAGUGGUAGCUCAUGUUCCAGUCUUAAUCGCCGCAGAAAUGUAAUGAAUAAAUUCUUCUCCUGCAUUAUGUAAAUCAUUUUAUGGGCUGUGUCAGCUCUUCUGCAAAUGAGAGCUUGUUUUAAUCACUGUAGAGAGGAUCUGAAUGACACAGAGGCAGAUCUGCUCAAUACAGGAGUGUGUAGUCUGGUUGCUUUUCAGAGCAAAGUUUUCAGACCUUUUAUUUCCACCUGCUAUUUUUUACUAUCUUCAAUAGGUGGACAUGAUAAAGCCAAGAGGAUGAAAGGCUGCAUCAGAUUAAGAAUACAUUUGAAAGGCUGUGUUUACUUCACACGUGUUACAGGACCACAGUGUCAUAAAAUUUCUAGAUAGAUUUUGUCCUGGUUUCAGCUGGGAUAGAGUUAAAUUUCUUCGUAGUAGCUGGUAUGGGGCUGUUUUGCAUUUUUGCUGGAAACAGUGGUGAUAACGUGGAGAUGUUUUGGUUGUUGCUAAGUACCGCUUACACUGGUCAAGGACUUUUUCAGCUCCCUGUGCUCUGCUGGGUGCACAAGAAGCUGGGAGGGGGCACAGCCAGGACAGCUGACCCCAACUGACCAACGGGAUAUUCCAUACCAUAUGACGUCAUGCUCAGUAUAUAAAGCUGGGAGAAGGAGGAGGAAGGGGGGGAUGUUUGGAGUGAUGGUGUUUGUCUUCCCAAGUAACCAUUACGCGUGAUGGAGCCCUGCUUUCCUGGAGAUGGCUGAACACCUGCCUGCCCAUGGGAAGGAGUGAAUGAAUUCCUUGUUUUGUUUUGCUUCCGUGCUCAGCUUUUGCUUUACCUAUUAA